Molecule: transfer RNA, 66 nt
Filed under: Acanthopleura vaillantii
Lineage: Eukaryota; Metazoa; Mollusca; Polyplacophora; Chitonida; Chitonidae
Description: tRNA-Arg
Source: RNAcentral
AGUCUUAACCUACUGUACAUAUGAUUUCGGCUCAUAGAACAAACAAAUAAAAUUGUUUUAAGAUUU